This is a long non-coding RNA of Cebus imitator (Panamanian white-faced capuchin), 631 nucleotides long. RefSeq lists it as uncharacterized. The transcript is spliced from 4 exons. NCBI's taxonomy places the organism in Eukaryota, Metazoa, Chordata, Mammalia, Primates, Cebidae. The record is from RefSeq and is a predicted model, not a curated record.
CAAAGAAAUAUGCACUGAGUCACAUAUUCUAAGAAAUAGACUGUACUCUACUCAAAUCGAAAUAACGGCACUUUAAUUCUUGGAUUUUCCACAUUUUCGUUGGUAAAGCUCCUAUUUGCUUUCUCUGAAUCUGUAUCAGUUCAUGCAGUUCUGCCAAGUGGGGAAGCUUUGCAGGACACUGCUACUGUAGCACUUGAAAUAUUAAGAUGAACAGAACAAGCAAAAGGUGGGAAAACUGGAAAGAUUGAAUGUCCUUUGGAGUUCACAAAGGUUUGGCAGUGGGAUGAGAAAAACAAAACGAAGCAUAGUGGGAGUGUUGAACAGACUUUCCCAAGAUCCCCAGGAGUCUAUGAUGCUGCUCAAACCAAUAGCUAUACUGCAAGAAAUGACAACUUCAUCUCUCAGAAAACCACAGAUCAGAUGCAGAAAAGUAAUCCUUGGAUAAAUUAUAUCAUGGGAGAUACAUAGCUCAGCUACAAAGUCCAGUGAGGCAACAGACCGAAACAGAAAGAGUCAUGGGAAAACUUGAUGCUGAAAUUAGAAUUCCUAGCAUUGACUGUUACUUCUGUGGGGGCUGGAGCUGAUGCCUCUUGGAUUGACAGAGCUUAUUUAUUUAAAAUGUACUUUCAGC